This 253-nucleotide ribosomal RNA is filed under the name uncultured bacterium. Its description in RNAcentral is "partial 16S ribosomal RNA". It matches the Rfam family "Bacterial small subunit ribosomal RNA", at positions 524 to 776 of the family's 1533-position model. The record is from RNAcentral.
UACGUAGGGGGCAAGCGUUAUCCAGAAUUACUGGGCGUAAAGCGUGCGCAGGCGGAUUCUUAAGUCAGAUGUGAAAGCCCCGGGCUUAACCUGGGAAUUGCGUUUGAAACUGGGAGACUGGAGUGUGGCAGAGGGGGGUGGAAUUCCACGUGUAGCAGUGAAAUGCGUAGAUAUGUGGAGGAACACCGAUGGCGAAGGCAGCCCCCUGGGUCAACACUGACGCUCAUGCACGAAAGCGUGGGGAGCAAACAGG